Molecule: small nuclear RNA, 22 nt
Filed under: Arabidopsis thaliana (thale cress)
Lineage: Eukaryota; Viridiplantae; Streptophyta; Magnoliopsida; Brassicales; Brassicaceae
Description: snRNA_07810
Source: RNAcentral
UGUAAAAACCUUAAAUACAACU